UUAGAUUGACAGCUAAUCGCUAGUACAUUCAUGUAUUAGAGGAAAGUCCGGGCAGCAUAGGGAGUGACAGCCGCUAACAGCGGCCGAGGGCGACCUUAGGGAAAGUGCCACAGAAACGAAACUACCUCGCUUACGCGAGGCAAAGAUGAAACGCGCGGUGUAAGAGACCGUAAUCGCGCAUGGUAACAUGCGAGAGAGGUAAACCCUGUCAGCUGCAAGGAGUGAGCUAUACACGUUCCCGCGAUGCUUACGUAUAACCCCGCUCGAGCUUAUGAGCAAUUGUAGGCCUAGAUAGAUGAUUAGCCCUACUUCGGUGGGACAGAACCCGGCUUACGGCAAUCUAACAAU
This 348-nucleotide RNase P RNA is filed under the name Candidatus Saccharimonadota bacterium. RNAcentral's name for it is "Candidatus Saccharibacteria bacterium RNase P RNA component class A". It matches the Rfam family "Bacterial RNase P class A". From Rfam's summary of the family: Ribonuclease P (RNase P) is a ubiquitous endoribonuclease, found in archaea, bacteria and eukarya as well as chloroplasts and mitochondria. Lineage: Bacteria; Candidatus Saccharimonadota. The record is from RNAcentral.